Molecule: long non-coding RNA, 1424 nt
Filed under: Anas platyrhynchos platyrhynchos (common mallard)
Lineage: Eukaryota; Metazoa; Chordata; Aves; Anseriformes; Anatidae
Description: lncRNA (ENSAPLG00000022077.1)
Source: RNAcentral
GAUAUAUUACGUAGUGUCUGCUAUGUGAUUCGACUACUCUGAUGUGGUAUGCCCGGACCAAUAAGGAAAGGAAGUAAAUUCUGGCCUUUAAAGUUUGUGACAUCAAGAUGGAAUGAUUCUCCUUCAUGACAGCACACAUGUGUUCUUAAAAUCAUCACAAAAGCCUGACUUUUAUAUUUACAAUUUCCUGAGAACUCGUUGUUCAGUAGUGAAAUCUCUGCAGAUAACCUUAAAGUGAAUACAACUUAAUGUUACUUUAAGGCUUAUCAGAUAGUCAUUUAAGGAACUUUCUGCUUCUCAUCAUGCACAACUUCCACUCAUGGAAUGGAAUAUGCUUCACAACAGGGCUUUGGAAUUUUUAAAAGAAAGAUAAAACAAGCAAACUACAGCAACAACAAAUCCCUACAUUUCUUCCUUAAUGAAUUAUUGACCAUAAAUCAAAAACUGGUAUUCCACUGUCUCCAUAGCAGCUAGCUAACCUUAUGGACUAUUUUUAUUUUGGGUUCUGCCCCCUUGAGAUGCUGGGGUUUUCAAGGAAUGUGAAGCUUUACCAUAUACUAUAGAACCUGAGUAGUUGAUGGCUUUCAGAAAGGACUUUGUAAUUUGAAAUAUUGAGCCCAGAAAAGAAGCUGUAUUGAAGAGCUGAAGAAAAUUUGGCACAUCCGGUUUCUUAUGUACUGAGUUUCAUUUGAAGGUUGGAGUUAACUUUGUUUUGGUGAACUUUGUUAGCUAACUCAUUUUAUAAUUUCAGCAUAUUACUGCAGAAUACUGCAGAAUAUGGGAUCACAAAUAUAAAUAUAUUAAUUACUUGGUAAGCAUACACAUUAGCUUUCUUCUUUGGAUUGGCAUCCUCCCCAGACCACCAAUAAAAACUUCAGACAGGUUAAGAAAUAGUGACAUUUUUGCUUCUUUUGAAGAGAUAUGGUUUCUAACUGUGGAUAUAGAAUCCUGUUAUCCUACUGUCUUCUUGGAAAACUCUUACCAAGAUGGGAAUACAGAUUCAGAUGCUUCUUGAAAAAUAUGACAGCUGCCAUAAAACAAGACAGCAUGAUCUAUCAUGACAGUAAGAUCUUGUUGAAGAACAUGCCUGUGUGGAAGUCAGGACAAAUUUUCAUUCUCCGGGUCUCUGUGUUUGAGGACCUCCACAUACAUGUACAUCAGUGGAAAAAGGAACCAAACCAAACCACACACCCACACACACAACCUAACAAACAAACACACAAUGGUUAUGUGUACAGAUCUUGAAACCAGACAUCAAAUUCAGGGAAAUGGAAAGGAAAAUUAUUGAAUCGCAAUUAGUCCUUGAUCUAUUCAUGCUGUAGUCAGAUUUAAUGGAAAUUUAAAAUAUGGACUUUUGUUCCUAGGGAAGAUAAAUGGGACAGAUCUGCAAAAUGUUAAUAAAAUGCUUAGAAAAAAUCUUUACA